CUACGGGAGGCAGCAGUAGGGAAUCUUGCACAAUGGGCGAAAGCCUGAUGCAGCAACGCCGCGUGCGCGAUGAAGGCCUUCGGGUCGUAAAGCGCUUUUCUGGGAGACGAGGAAGGACGGUAUCCCAGGAAGAAGGCUCGGCUAACUACGUGCCAGCAGCCGCGGUAAAACGUAGGAGCCAAGCGUUAUCCGAAUUUACUGGGCGUAAAGCGCGUGCAGGCGGCUCGAUAAGUUGGCUGUGAAAUCUCCUGGCUCAACUGGGAGAGGCCGGUCAAGACUGUCGGGCUGGAGGGCAGUAGAGGGAGGUGGAAUUCCCGGUGUAGUGGUGAAAUGCGUAGAGAUCGGGAGGAACACCAGUGGCGAAAGCGGCCUCCUGGACUGUACCUGACGCUCAGACGCGAAAGCUAGGGGAGCGAACGGGAUUAGAUACCCCGGUAGUCCC
This 442-nucleotide ribosomal RNA is filed under the name uncultured bacterium. RNAcentral describes it as "bacterial SSU rRNA". It matches the Rfam family "Bacterial small subunit ribosomal RNA", at positions 339 to 797 of the family's 1533-position model. The record is from RNAcentral.